CUAAUACCGCAUAAGCACACAGCUUCGCAUGGAGCAGUGUGAAAAACUCCGGUGGUAUGAGAUGGACCCGCGUCUGAUUAGCUAGUUGGUAAGGUAACGGCUUACCAAGGCGACGAUCAGUAGCCGACCUGAGAGGGUGACCGGCCACAUUGGGACUGAGACACGGCCCAAACUCCUACGGGAGGCAGCAUG
RNAcentral lists this ribosomal RNA (192 nucleotides) under uncultured bacterium. RNAcentral's name for it is "partial 16S ribosomal RNA". It matches the Rfam family "Bacterial small subunit ribosomal RNA", at positions 163 to 353 of the family's 1533-position model. The record is from RNAcentral.